Triticum aestivum (bread wheat) is the source of this 115-nucleotide non-coding RNA. The record is from Rfam. NCBI's taxonomy places the organism in Eukaryota, Viridiplantae, Streptophyta, Magnoliopsida, Poales, Poaceae.
UUACUACUCUCUCCGUUAAGAAUUACUUGUCGUAAAAAUGGAUGUAUCUAGACAUUUUUUAGUUCUAGAUACAUCCAUUUCUGCGACAAGUAAUUCAGGACGGAGGGAGUAGUUG